RNAcentral lists this ribosomal RNA (385 nucleotides) under uncultured bacterium. RNAcentral describes it as "bacterial SSU rRNA". It matches the Rfam family "Bacterial small subunit ribosomal RNA", at positions 355 to 757 of the family's 1533-position model. The record is from RNAcentral.
UAGGGAAUAUUGCGCAAUGGAGGAAGCUCUGACGCAGCAAUUCCGCGUGUAGGAUGAAGGUUUUAGGACUGUAAACUACUGUCAACAGGGAAGAACUAGACGGUACCUGUAAAGGAAGCACCGGCUAACUACGUGCCAGCAGCCGCGGUAAUACGUAGGGUGCGAGCGUUGUCCGGAAUUAUUGGGCGUAAAGCGUCCGUAGGCGGUUUUGUAAGUCUAAAGUAAAAGGCAUUCGCUCAACGAAUGUAAUGUUUUGGAAACUGUGAGACUAGAGUAUGGUAGAGGUUGCUGGAAUUCCAGGAGUAGCGGUGAAAUGCGUAGAUAUCUGGAGGAACACCGGUGGCGAAAGCGGGCAACUGGACCAUAACUGACGCUAAUGGACGAA